Molecule: ribosomal RNA, 377 nt
Filed under: Bacillus pumilus
Lineage: Bacteria; Bacillati; Bacillota; Bacilli; Caryophanales; Bacillaceae
Description: bacterial SSU rRNA
Rfam family: Bacterial small subunit ribosomal RNA
Source: RNAcentral
GGGUUGUCCGAUUAUUGGGCGUAAGGGCUCGCAGGCGGUUUCUUAAGUCUGAUGUGAAAGCCCCCGGCUCAACCGGGGAGGGUCAUUGGAAACUGGGAAACUUGAGUGCAGAAGAGGAGAGUGGAAUUCCACGUGUAGCGGUGAAAUGCGUAGAGAUGUGGAGGAACACCAGUGGCGAAGGCGACUCUCUGGUCUGUAACUGACGCUGAGGAGCGAAAGCGUGGGGAGCGAACAGGAUUAGAUACCCUGGUAGUCCACGCCGUAAACGAUGAGUGCUAAGUGUUAGGGGGUUUCCGCCCCUUAGUGCUGCAGCUAACGCAUUAAGCACUCCGCCUGGGGAGUACGGUCGCAAGACUGAAACUCAAAGGAAUUGACGG